UUGGCCUACGGGGCGCAGCAGUGGGGAAUAUUGCACAAUGGGGGGAACCCUGAUGCAGCGACGCCGCGUGGGUGAAGAAGUCAUUCGUGACGUAAAGCCCUAUCAGCAGGGAAGAAAAUGACGGUACCUGACUAAGAAGCCCCGGCUAACUACGUGCCAGCAGCCGCGGUAAUACGUAGGGGGCAAGCGUUAUCCGGAUUUACUGGGUGUAAAGGGAGCGUAGACGGUUAUGCAAGUCUGAAGUGAAAGCCCAAGGCUCAACCAUGGGACUGCUUUGGAAACUGUAAAACUGGAGUGCAGGAGAG
RNAcentral lists this ribosomal RNA (305 nucleotides) under uncultured bacterium. RNAcentral's name for it is "bacterial SSU rRNA". It matches the Rfam family "Bacterial small subunit ribosomal RNA", at positions 334 to 656 of the family's 1533-position model. The record is from RNAcentral.